GACGAACGCUGGCGGCGUGCUUAAUACAUGCAAGUCGAGCGGACAGGCGCGGCUCUUGCGGGGCGCUCGAGUGGCGAACGGGUGAGUAACACGUGAGUAAAAUGCCCCUGAAUGAGGGAUAAAUUCAGGGAAAUGGGGAUAAUAUCGGAUAGGAGCUAUUGAUGCACGGUGGGGGUUGGAGAGAUACGGCGGUUGGGGAUGGACUCGAGGCUUAUGAGCCUGAUGGUGGGGUAGUGGAUGACAAGGGCUUUGAAGGGUAGCCGGCCUGGGAGGGUGACCAGGCACAAGGGGACUGAGAUACGGCGCAGACGCCUACGGGCCGCAGCAGUCGAGAAUAUUGCGCAACGGCCGGAAGCCAGUUGCAACAGCCCCGCGUGCGUAAUAACGUCCUUCGGGGUGUAAACCACUGUCUACGGUGAUGAAGCGUUAGUGACGGUAAUUAGUAAGAAAGCACCGGCUAACUACGUG
Molecule: ribosomal RNA, 468 nt
Filed under: uncultured bacterium
Lineage: Bacteria
Description: partial 16S ribosomal RNA
Rfam family: Bacterial small subunit ribosomal RNA
Source: RNAcentral